This 87-nucleotide ribosomal RNA is filed under the name Clostridium botulinum. Its description in RNAcentral is "partial 23S ribosomal RNA". It matches the Rfam family "Bacterial large subunit ribosomal RNA", at positions 1 to 86 of the family's 2925-position model. Lineage: Bacteria; Bacillati; Bacillota; Clostridia; Eubacteriales; Clostridiaceae. The record is from RNAcentral.
AGGUCAAGCUACAAAGGGCGCAUGGUGAAUGCCUUGGCAUCAGGAGCCGAUGAAGGACGCGAUAAGCUGCGAUAAGCUUCGGGUAGA